UGACCAAAGCAUCCAGAAUGCACCUGAGCUCAUCAAAUCUCCGAAGCUAAGCAGGACUGAACCUGGCUAGCGCUUGGAUGGGGGACCACCUUGAAUAGACAGGGUGUUAUAUAUG
RNAcentral lists this ribosomal RNA (115 nucleotides) under Petromyzon marinus (sea lamprey). The record is from RNAcentral. Lineage: Eukaryota; Metazoa; Chordata; Hyperoartia; Petromyzontiformes; Petromyzontidae.